AUGAGAGGAGAAUAAAUUUACAAAAGAGAAACACCAAAUGUGCUUACUCACAUAGAAGCUCUGCUCAGCUUCCUGUGAGGGAGCCACCAACAGAGACGACUGCUGGACGAGAAGCCAGAUCCAAAAAUCAGGAAAAAACAAGAUGUAAUGAGAAGACAACCAUCUGGAAGAGGGAAGUCAUCAUAAGCCAGGCUACACUAGCCUCUUGGUCUCAGAAGCCUAGACCACAGAAUUGUGAUAAUGAAGCCUAGUCAGUCCACAGAGCUGUGAGAAUGAAGCCUAGUCCACAGAACUGUGAGAAUGAAGCCUAGUCCACAGAACUGUGAGAAUGAAGCCUAGUCCACAGAACUGUGAGAAUGAAGCCUAGUCUACAGAGCUGUGAGAAUGAAGCCUAGUCUACAGAGCUGUGAGAAUUAGGUAUCUGCUGAUUAUGUCACCCAGACUCUGGUUGGAUUUAGCUAUAAAUUCUUUCAGGUGUUAACUUCCUCAGACUACUAGGCCUUUUGUUGUUGUUCUUCCACAAAGCUGCCUUUGGUGACCUAAGGCUAGGAAUGAGGCUCUGGAAAUCGCUUCCCCACAAUGAAACCCCUUGCUAUACAGCUCAGGAACCAGGCAGCAGCAACUAAAGUGAGCUCCAAUUCAAAAUUCCACAUGAAUGACCCUAACAUAGCUUGACAGAUUUUCAAAGAAAGGAGCAACACAUUCCUGGCUGUCUGACAGCAAACAGCAAAAUCUUCUCAUAUCUACAAAAAGAGAGAUAAGGACUGAAGUCAAUUAUGAGGCAUGCUGAGAAAGUGCUUUAGAAGAUAAGAGGGCCUGAAAGUGUUUGAGUGAAGAGAGCAUGUGAAGAGAUAAUAGUCACUAAACAAAUUCAUCACCCUACAUUGAAAAUCUGAGAUGAAUUCCACACUCUUUCUUACAAAAGAGUCGGAGAGGUAAAGUUAAAUCACCCUUUGUUUCAAAACACAAUACCCAGAAGUUAAAUGAAUACCUUGAAUUUUACCAUGACUAGACAAAGCCUACAUGUGACAUCAGUACUUUUCAGACAAAAGCUGGGAAUGACCCUUCCACUUAUACCAAUCAGAUGAAAACUUUUGCUCUUCCUGGAGGCCACAGGAGAAGGGAAAUACAUUUAUUUAACUCAUUUGAAGAAGUAGCUAAUUUCAUUGGUUUGGGUCCUUUGCUUUUCUCAAACUAUUCCAUGAAAAUAGAGAACAUAUUUUAAAAAUUACAAAAUGAUAGCCUUAUGGAACCACAAGACCAAGUUGCAAACCCCAACUGUACAACUUAUUAGCUCUUAACUUGAAACAAAAGGAGUAACAAUAAUAGCAGCAGUAAAUUCCUGGGAUUUUUAAAAAUGUGUAAGUAAAUGACUAUAUCAAGAAAUAAAAAACAUGUCUUUGUACAUGUACUGAAAUGCAAAGUUUGCUGUAAUAUGUUUUGGUCAGCACAGAGGUAAGGUAAAAUCUUCUCAUGCAUAUUUUAUUUUGAAAUUUUCAAUUUAGAAAAAAAAAACUGUAUUGAAUAUAUAACAUACUUCUGGUUUGCAUCAUUAUUAAAGCAUCUGGUCCUGCUCUUGACCAGUCAUAAGGAAGUGCUUUGUACCAAGCAAUUGUUCAGAUGUGCAAUGUAAAACCCUGCAACUUCGUAACAAUAACAAGUGCAAAAAUGCUUAACAAAAGAAAAAUACUGAUGAGUCUGUUUCCAUUAGCAUGAAGAGAAACCUACCAUUCCUGGAAGUCCACUCUUUAAUAUCAGACAUCUGGGGAGUUUGGAUGGACCCACACAGGCAUGUGCUUGGCUUGGGUGACCUCUAAUAUGUUCCUUUUCUAGUUCUGCCUAUGGUGUCACUUAGCUCAGCUUCCAGGGGAACAUUUUCAUCUGGAAAACCGACAAAUGUGUCCUCUCUUCCUAUUUCCACAUUCCUCAGAGACUAGCUGACAAGUAUCACGUUCAUUGGGUUUACACUAAAUGAAUGCUCCAUAGAAUGUUACUAAAUGAGAUGUCAUCAAACUGAGUGAACAUUUAUCUUGCAAAAUCUAGUGUCUUUCUCUCUAUAGUAUAAGGAUAUUUAUGACAUUGGUCUGCAAGUUUUAAAACUUUCUAGUUUUUGAAGAAAUAUUUGGGAAAUUUCUUUCUGAUAGAUCAGGAAGAUGCAUGCUCCAGCAUGUAUUAUUUGUCUUUUAGGAAACAGGCCUUCAUUUUCGAAGUUAUUUGUAAUCCACUAAAAAUAAAUAUAGAACUUGAUAUAUGUUCUGCUUAAGAAUUUUCACCCAAUUUCACCUUAUUGUUCUAAUUUUUCUGUAGCUCGAUUUCCUGUCAUUUUAAGAAUCUUAGCUUUUAUUUGUUCAUAUUUUAAGAUUUAUAUAUACAUAUGUUACUAAACUUUUAUCCUAAUUUAAAUGAUAUUUAUCUGCUAAAACUAUACUCUGUCCAAUUCUAUUUCUUGAUCACAUACAAAUGUUUAAUUAGUUAGGCACAAACUUUAAAUAAAGUUUUAAAUCAGUUGAAAUUUACUCAGAAGUUUUCAGUCAGCCAAACUCAGUUGACAGGUACAGAAGAAACUGCAAGAAUCCUUCUAAUCCUUCUUCUGAUCUUAAGUUUUCAGUGUUGGUUUCAAUUAGACACCAUGUUCCUAAAAAUAGUUAAGUAAUUUUAAUCCAAACUAUAUUUCAAGAAAGCAAAACAUGUACUUAUGGGAAAAAGAAAAAGUGAGGACCAUUUUACAAAAGGAACCAUGUAAUGCUAUUUGUUAUUUUCUAACAUGAGCAUCAAAAUGAAAUAAAUCAUAUAAUCUACUGCUGUACAUGUAAGAGGGAAUUAGUUCGCAAUAUUUUUAGUGGGGAGAAUAUAUAAAAAUUAUAAUGCCACCGACAGAAAUUAUAGUGGUUUUUUUUGUGGUUUUUCGA
Molecule: long non-coding RNA, 2909 nt
Organism: Onychomys torridus (southern grasshopper mouse)
Lineage: Eukaryota; Metazoa; Chordata; Mammalia; Rodentia; Cricetidae
Exons: 3
Source: RefSeq, a predicted model, not a curated record